RNAcentral lists this ribosomal RNA (933 nucleotides) under uncultured bacterium. RNAcentral describes it as "bacterial SSU rRNA". It matches the Rfam family "Bacterial small subunit ribosomal RNA", at positions 575 to 1504 of the family's 1533-position model. The record is from RNAcentral.
GCGGUUUGUCGCGUCUUCUGUGAAAUCCCGAGGCUCAACCUUGGGCCUGCAGUGGGUACGGGCAGACUAGAGUGCGGUAGGGGAGAUUGGAAUUCCUGGUGUAGCGGUGGAAUGCGCAGAUAUCAGGAGGAACACCGAUGGCGAAGGCAGAUCUCUGGGCCGUAACUGACGCUGAGGAGCGAAAGGGUGGGGAGCAAACAGGCUUAGAUACCCUGGUAGUCCACCCCGUAAACGUUGGGAACUAGUUGUGGGGACCAUUCCACGGUUUCCGUGACGCAGCUAACGCAUUAAGUUCCCCGCCUGGGGAGUACGGCCGCAAGGCUAAAACUCAAAGGAAUUGACGGGGACCCGCACAAGCGGCGGAGCAUGCGGAUUAAUUCGAUGCAACGCGAAGAACCUUACCAAGGCUUGACAUAUACGAGAACGGGCCAGAAAUGGUCAACUCUUUGGACACUCGUAAACAGGUGGUGCAUGGUUGUCGUCAGCUCGUGUCGUGAGAUGUUGGGUUAAGUCCCGCAACGAGCGCAACCCUCGUUCUAUGUUGCCAGCACGUAAUGGUGGGAACUCAUGGGAUACUGCCGGGGUCAACUCGGAGGAAGGUGGGGAUGACGUCAAAUCAUCAUGCCCCUUAUGUCUUGGGCUUCACGCAUGCUACAAUGGCCGGUACAAAGGGCUGCAAUACCGUGAGGUGGAGCGAAUCCCAAAAAGCCGGUCCCAGUUCGGAUUGAGGUCUGCAACUCGACCUCAUGAAGUCGGAGUCGCUAGUAAUCGCAGAUCAGCAACGCUGCGGUGAAUACGUUCCCGGGUCUUGUACACACCGCCCGUCAAGUCAUGAAAGUCGGUAACACCUGAAGCCGGUGGCCCAACCCUUGUGGAGGGAGCCGUCGAAGGUGGGAUCGGUAAUUAGGACUAAGUCGUAACAAGGUAGCCGUA